UCGGUCAUCCAGGAGCACAUGCACCACCCAGAACUACAGGGACAGAAGGCUUUCGGCUUCUAACCUGAUCUGACGCUUAGAACUGUACUAAUGGUACAGAAAGAGGAGCCAGAGGAGCCUUUCAAAGAUCUCCUGAGUGAACAGAGAAAAAGGUGCCACUGCAGCCUCAGCUCAUCCAGAUUUUACAUUGCAUUUCUGUCCAUUUUGCACCCAUUUAUGAUAAGCGAUUGAAAAGUGGGGAAGAUGCUCAUAAUGAGGUGUAAGAUCUGUCUUCGAGUAUUUUCAUAUUGGAACAGCUUUGUAACUCUUCAGCACAUGGAGUUGGCUCUGAUCUGAUGCUGUUUAUGAGACCUUAUUUGUAAUGUACAGUGCUGUACCUGGAAAGGACCCCAUCCUAUGGCCGGCCUGAGUGCAGAGUAUGCCUCCCACUGCUUACAGCGCACAGCUCGGCCAUCAGGCUCCAGCCAGACCACAACAAGGCAAACAAGAGGAACGGACAACCCAUAUCUAACUUAACAAGUCUGACUUUCUCUAAGCUUGCCAGGCUCUGCUAACACAUCAAGUACAGCGGCAGCCCACAGCACCUGGUGCUACAGAGCGUAGCUGCGAGAACUCUGAACGAUUACAGCUUUGCCAUACUCCAGAUUUCCUGCUCGGGACUGCUAAGCGAUUACUCACCCGAUACUCUAGGACGAUUACUCAAAUGAAGAAACCGGACAAGACGUGAAGUUUCACCUCAGCCUGCCCGGCCCCCCGUGCGGCGGUGCCCAUCCCCGGCGCUUCUGCAGGCGCGGGGAUCCGGCGGGCCGCGAGGGGAGCGCCCCGGGCAGCGCCGGCGGCCGCGCAGAGCGGUAAUUGCCGCCGUGCCGAGAGAGCCCGGGCAUGGCACAAACCGCCCACAUCGUCUGAGAAGUAAUGAGGGCAGAUGUUUAUUAAAGGCUUCCUAACGAGUCUGUUAACUUCGCCGCCUCACUCGAGUAAGCUUCCGACAGGUACACGCGGCGAUUACUCGAGAGCGAGCGAGGAGCCGGAGAGAGGCACGAACAGGACAGAAAGGCAGAAGAGCCGCCAGGCGGAACCGGGCUCCUCGUGUGGAGGUGCGCGCGAGCCCGGCCCGGGGGCAGCGGAACCGCCUCAGAUCGGGCGGUGCGGGCGGCCGAGACCCGGGAUGGUGCCGGCAGCUCCGGAGCCCACCUGAGCCCCGGGGCUCCGCCCGCCGCUCACCUUCCGAAAGUAGCAGUCAUCCUCCGGGCAGCCGCGGGCCGGCAGGGCGUCCAUCAUCUCCGACCGAGAGAGCCGUCCUCCGCGGAGCUGCUGUGGGGAGCCGCGACCCUACGGGAAAUGUCGGCGCUGCCCCACGGCGCCGCCCGGCUCCACCCCCGGCAGGCGGGGAGCAGCUGCUCCGCCCCGCGGCCGUGCCUCUCGCUGCUCCGGCCGGUCGGCCCCGCGCGGCCACUCGCCUUACGGCUCGGGCUCGCCGUGGAGUGUUCGCGGCCGAGCAGUCCCGGCGUGGCGGAGCGAGGCCGAGACGCGGGCGGUGGCUGACGAGCGUGGGGCUCCUCCUCGGCCCGUGCUGCCCUGAGGCGUGGCGAGGUCCGGCCGGGACCCCCAGGCACCGCUCCCCUUCUGUCGCUUCCUCCGGCCUCCUCCCGUCCCCGUGCCAGAGCAGUCACCCCGGUUGGCCCCCGUGCCCCCGGGGCCGCCGGCGGCGCCGCGAUCGGUGCCCGUCUCAGGGAGGGGCGGCCUCGGCCUCCCGGCACCGCGCCGGGUGGGCUCCGGGCUCCGCGUGGGGACGGCUCACCGAGCUGAGCCGGGGAGCGCCGCAGGGCCCGGGCCCCGACGGGGGUGGCAGCGGCCCAGGGACGGACGGGAAAUGUCUUUGGGGUCAGCCUGAGACGUGCACAAAUCUGCCGUGUUCACAGCGCGAACGUCAGGUCUUCAAAAAAUUCCGCUGUGCAACCGGUUCUGCACAUGUUUCUGUUGGACACCCGAGUAAGGAAAUGGGCAGUAUCGGCUGCUAUUGCUACCCAGGCCUAAGCUACAGUUCCGUGGGCUUCCACGCAAGGAUGUUAAGCAUCAAAGUGCUUCAAGUGAUUAUUAGCAAACGUAUCCUGUCUUCUGGUUUCUGUCUUUCUGCAGCCAUAAUCUUCAGGAGCCAGGAAGGUGUCUGCAAAGACAACUUUUCUCUAUCAAAGGGAAAUAUCUUUGGAAUUACAUCCCGAAUUCCCAAAGCUCCCUUUGAAAGCAUGGGUGUCUGCAGGGAGCUGUGCAGAGCGCUGUGCCUGAGCUGUGCCUGCUGCUGUUAGAAGGAGGAGCACGAGAGUCAGCAGGUCAGAAAUGGGGAUCCAGAGGCACCAUGUUGGCUCUCUUGAGGUCGGUUGAAUUUUGUUCUUCCAGGCACCGUACUGGAAGAACGGUAAAAGGCACUACCUUUUACUUUUUUUUUCCCCACUAAUUCUAAAGAUACUGGAUCCACACAGCAAUUGGUAUGUUAAAGUAGAAAUAGGUUAAAAUGGGAAAGUAAAUUAACUUCCCUCAAUCUUUUUAAAUAGUGGGAACAUGUUUAAUAAUAUUUUUUCCACUGUUAGAAAACGUACUGACCUGAGAAAGAAAAAUAUUUGAAAAAAUCUUGCCAAAUGAGUGUAAAUCUCCAGUACGUGGUUGAAGUUAGUAGCAAUGAGAGACAAAUUAGCAAAUUGUCAGCAUAGGCUGUGCCAAAACAAUCAGGCAGUCAGCACAGCACUGCUUCUACUGGGUUUACUGAAAGUGGAUCUAACAUGAAGGGUAUAGCUAUUACUCCAAACAGAGUCCUAAGAGUUUGUAGCCUGGUUAAAGGGUCAGAUGGUUAACAGUGAGACAAGUGACUAUGACUGCGGUGUGUGUAAAACACAAAUAUGCAUAAGUUUCUGCAGAGAAUGGCACUGAAGAUAACUUACUUGUAGCAUAUCUCGGUGACAGACUGCAGACUGCAGCCUUUCUCAGUUGCUGGUGGAUACUUGGAAUCAAACAAAGUCAGCAGCGUUACACACAGUGAACUUCUCCAGCAAAUUCAAGAACCUGAGAUAGCUCUUACAGGCUUCCUCCCCCAUGGUGAGCACCCUGAGAAUAUCUUCCAACACCCUCAGAACUGCCAGAUUAGACUGUGCCUUGCCUUCGCUUUGAUAAGAGUACUUCAUGACUGUGUCAGGAUUUAUCUCUUAUUUCUAAGUAAGUCUCAGUAAGUUUUGCCUUUCUACAGAGUGCUCCUCUUAGUGAAUAUGAUUUUUUUCAGAAGACAUGCUGAUUGCAUGGUCUCAGUAGUUAGGAUUGAGCUAUGUAAUGAUGGGGUAGGAGCACUCCGUGACCCUGGAAUGUAAAUUGCAGUGUAGAAUGUUCCAAAAACUGAUUUAUCUCAGAAAAUAUGUCCCUACUCUUGGAACCGCUUGGUUAAAUAACUUGUUUCCAGGAGCUCUUUGGUUGCUAUUAGAAGUCUGAAAUAGAGGUGGGUUCACACCACAGACUUUCUCAGUUUCUCACAAUUGUAUUAAUCAGAGGGUUUGGUUUCCUGCACUGUAGGGAUUGAGCAAUAACAGGCUGGGAAUCGCUAACUCAUGCACUCAGAAAAAGAGAUCCACAGAGGCAGAUGUUUGGUUGGUUUCUGUAAUCUUAAGAGACCAAAUUCAGCAAACUGGUGCACAGGACAUGGCGCUGUCUCUGAGAAAGCAUCUUUUACCAGAUACUCAAGGAUUUGCAUCCAGUGAAAAUCAGUGUGUUGUGCCUAAAAUACUGAAGCUGUGAGCAGUUGAUGUUAUCUCUGCAUCAAAUCUCUCUCUUUGUUUUCCAGAACUCCGUGCUUCAGGCUUUCUGCAUUCUCACAGAUAAACCAGCCAGGUGAAGCAAACAAUGACUGCAUUGAAAACAGGCAUUGAAAGGCAGAGCUUGAGUUGUCCCAGUUUUUGUCCCUCAGAAGUCAAGGUGAGAGAGAGGUCAGAAUUGGAAUAGCCUUACCACAG
This 3992-nucleotide long non-coding RNA is filed under the name Gallus gallus (chicken). The record is from RNAcentral. Lineage: Eukaryota; Metazoa; Chordata; Aves; Galliformes; Phasianidae.